UGGGGAAUUUUGGACAAUGGGCGAAAGCCUGAUCCAGCAAUGCCGCGUGUGUGAAGAAGGCCUUCGGGUUGUAAAGCACUUUUGUCCGGAAAGAAAUCCUUGGCUCUAAUACAGUCGGGGGAUGACGGUACCGGAAGAAUAAGCACCGGCUAACUACGUGCCAGCAGCCGCGGUAAUACGUAGGGUGCAAGCGUUAAUCGGAAUUACUGGGCGUAAAGCGUGCGCAGGCGGUUUGCUAAGACCGAUGUGAAAUCCCCGGGCUCAACCUGGGAACUGCAUUGGUGACUGGCAGGCUAGAGUACGGCAGAGGGGGGUAGAAUUCCACGUGUAGCAGUGAAAUGCGUAGAGAUGUGGAGGAAUACCGAUGGCGAAGGCAGCCCCCUGGGCCAAUACUGACGCUCAUGCACGAAAGCGUGGGGGAGCAAACAGGAUUAGAUACCCUGGUAGUCCACGCCCUAAACGAUGUCAACUAGUUGUUGGGGAUUCAUUCCUUAGUAACGUAGCUAACGCGUGAAGUUGACCGCCUGGGGAGUACGGUCGC
RNAcentral lists this ribosomal RNA (541 nucleotides) under uncultured bacterium. Its description in RNAcentral is "partial 16S ribosomal RNA". It matches the Rfam family "Bacterial small subunit ribosomal RNA", at positions 355 to 889 of the family's 1533-position model. The record is from RNAcentral.